GAUGGCGGAAUCCCAAGUUACAGGGAUGGAUUUUGGGGAUUGGAUUGGGGAGCUUUGAAAUUGAAAGACAAAAAAAUCCCACUGGAUAAGCGAGCGCGGCAACAUGGAGCGGCGUUCGAGUGACUUCGAAGCUGAACCCAAGCAUCCCUCAGACUCAGAGAAAGCCUUGAGUUGGUGGUGAUCUGUCGUCUCUAUCGUCACAAAUCGACGGCGGAGGUUCCAAAAUGUUGCAGAUCUCGUCAAACGCUCCGAGUCCAAGAAGAAGAAGCUCAAAAUCCAGUCACCUCCUCAUGCUGAGAAGCAAAACUGAGAUAAGAGACAUCCUACGCCUACAUUAAUAAGAGCCAAAAAUGACUUGCCAUGCAA
Long non-coding RNA from Cucurbita pepo subsp. pepo (vegetable marrow), 366 nucleotides. RefSeq lists it as uncharacterized. NCBI's taxonomy places the organism in Eukaryota, Viridiplantae, Streptophyta, Magnoliopsida, Cucurbitales, Cucurbitaceae. The record is from RefSeq and is a predicted model, not a curated record.